This is a long non-coding RNA of Ooceraea biroi (clonal raider ant), 5340 nucleotides long. RefSeq lists it as uncharacterized. The record is from RefSeq and is a predicted model, not a curated record. Lineage: Eukaryota; Metazoa; Arthropoda; Insecta; Hymenoptera; Formicidae.
AAUUUUAUACAAAAAAACGUAAUACAAUUUUAGUUUUUAAAAUAAUCUCUAUUAUUUUCUAUAGUAUUUUCUAUGACUUUUUAUUACUGUAAGAACAACAGAGCAGAACAAUGUUUUAAUUUAAAAUAGGUAUAUAUUAUUAAAUAAUUUAAUUUAAUUAAAUACUUUAAUUUAAUUUAAAUAGGAACGGGCACUGAAUUAAUUUAUACACGUACUAUCGCAGUAUAUGCGCAGUAUGCAUGAUAUCCACUAAUACAAUUCAAAUUGUGGGAAGAAGUAAACGUGAGACGAGAAGAUAAAUACGUAAGAUAAUGAUUCAAGGUAUAGUGAAUCAAUUGAAUCAUCUUUACAAAAUUAUAACGUCAAGCAGAACCUAAAACGCGAUUGUCUGCGUGUAUUUCAAUCAUUCAAUGUAUAAUAGUGCAAUAUAUUCAUCGAACGUUUCAAAUCUUCUUCAUCUAUGCAUUUUUCCCCGAACUUAAAAACUUCAACCAUCGGUUGAAACUUUUCAAUCGGCGAUGCACCGCCUCGCACGUUUGAUCUAGAAAGCUGUGUUUCUUUUUAACAAGCGCAUUUCGGUGGCGUUUCUCCUAGGAAAAGGAAAGUGCAUAAGUGCAUAAGACCGCAUGAGGAAACCACGGUCGUUUGAAUGGUUUUUUACGAGAUACAUCGGGGAUGCGCAAGGAGUCUCGCUCAAUUAUACGAUGAAAUUGGAUGAUAAUCAUGGGAGCAGAUGCACGCAUGCACUUGACACUGCGUUUCGUUUUUUUCAUUUUUUUCGUACUUUUCCUCGAGCGAGUUGAGCGUCAGACGCGCGAACGAUAUAUUCUGAGAGUCCGAUUUCGUGCGAUCUCUCUUAACUAGUCGGUUACAUGCUUAGCAAUUCAUAUAUUUACAUUACAAUGAUUAAUGCGCAAUUGAUUAAGUCCUCGCAUUGAAUAUCGCUCGGAUCCUGCGAAAGUCUCGUCUCGUCUGAGAGCGGCGAAAGAAGAAAGAAGGAAGACGCCGUUGGCAGGAAUUAUUCCUGAAUGGCUUUUUGUAGAUUCUAUCACCCUGAGAAAAUCUAGGAAAACGACACCGUGCCACGAAGAAUGCUAAAUUAUCUGCAUGUACUUUCACCUGCUUUGAACGCGGUCGCGAUGCACGGCUGAUUUAUAAUCGCGAAAAUACACUCGGCAAAUUAAUUUGAAUUUGAUAAUGCAAAGAGAGAUUGCAAAGCACCACCAGACAUUAGAAUGCGGAUCACGUAUCAGUUCGUACAUAAUCCCAAUUUCUUCAUCGGCCUGCGAUGUUUCUUCUUUUUUGCGACGUUUCUUUGUCUUUCGAUUAUCGAGAGAGUCUAUAAGAUUCGUCGGCACAAAUAUUUCAAGUAUCUUGUGCUAAAAUUCAUUAAAAAUUCGGGAAUGUAUUGAUCUGCUGCCGUUUAUAGGUUCCAAGAACGGAGUAUGUGAAUAAUGCAAUUUUCCCUUUAAAGGGAUGAUCCGCGGUUUAUUUCUUGUACAAGCCCAACAACUUUGGAAACGCAAGUCUGAAAGGAUAUAACGGCAAAUUAACAGGGAGGAGGGACGAAGCGGGUUCUUCGCCUUUUACCGCAUAAAAAGUAGCUUGAGCAGCGGACUUUACGCGUGUGAUUAAAUUGUAAGUGUGUAUGUACGUGGAAAAAUGUGGAACGCCUUCUCUCGUUUUCUUGCUGUCUUGAAUAGCAGCCUCUUCUAAUAUGAAGGAUGGCAUUCGAUUUGUCGAGAGGAAAUUUUGUAACUCUCUAGCAAGAGUUAACUUGCAUUAUAUCGUCGGCGAUAUCGGCAACGAUCGACCGCUCGAUCGCAAUCGAGUGAAACUCACGUCGUUGCAGUCUUGUGUCAUCCCGUUAUUACAAUUUCCGUAAUAAAAUCAUCGAUUUGCAAUCAAAGCGCGCUUCUCGAGAAAAUCUGUAGGUGUAUGUGCGUGUCUAUGCGUCGCAAAUGUGACGACACUAUUGCUAAAAACGCUGCGGUGCUGUGCAUGAUGGAUUCAAUGGGCGUACCAAGAUGCACCGUGCUAUUACCACGCUGACUUCUGAUGUAAGUUACGCUGUUAUGGGAUAUUUACGAGUGCGGAUACGUCAACGUCAGUGUCAGUGGGGUAAAUAUGUCUUGUCGUUUCGUCGCCAGAUUUAAAGGAGUUCACUGUCGGCGGCCGGUCGGGUGAUAAAUCGAGUUAUGCUAAUGCAUGCAAAAUACUUUCGGCCGACUCGCGCUUACCUUCUUGCGUUUCUUAUAAAUAGUUUCGUAACGGGAGGCAGGUAGCAUGUAACAUGCGCUCUGUGCGAAAUAUUGUACAUAAUUGGUGUGCGAAUUAAUUCGCUACAUUUUAGAGAGAAUUGAGUCUUUAUUUCUAAAAAGAUAAUGAACAUAUCAAUCUUCGAAAUAUUCGCCAUUAUUUACUUUUGCAAUACCUUUUCCAUCUAUCAAGCAGCUAGCAAAUCUCCGCUCAAAAAAAGAAAGUAAAUAAAGACUCAAUUUUUUCAAAUUAAUUUGUGUACCUAAUACAUCUGGAAUCUAUUUAAAUAAAUUUUCGAGACUUCAUUACAAGUGAGAAUAUUCUUCUUUAAAUAAUCAUUUAAAUAUUUUGUUCCGCUUUUGACAUUUUGGAGCAACUCCUUGCGCUUUUGCGCUCCGCAUCAUUCGCGGAAUUCGUAUAAUUGGUCUUAAUAUCGAGGAGCUGCUCUAGAUUACCAAGCAAACAUAAUUAUCACCAGACUCGCAUCAAACAAGCAGCGCUCUGAGAAAAUUGAGUGCAUCGCGAUCUUCGCGAGUUUUAAAAGAUUCAGAGUUUCACUCUUCCUUACACGUUCAGAUAUAACAGCUUUAUCGUGACGAUCACACCGUAAUUUACCGAUACUUCCCUGGUACUCGUUCUCACCAUGGUGCUCGACUUCCAUUCCGAUCAUGCGGCGAUACAGCGUGCAGAUAACAAAAUGCCAGAAACUCUGGGAAUGCAAUCAGCGCGAGACAAUACCCUUUGUAUCGCAGUAAAGCGAUUUGAUUAUUAUCGAAACGUAUCGCUUCACGUAUGCAAGAAAUGUUCUCGAAACAGAUGUCUAGAAUACUAUACUGAUAUGAGGUAUACUGAUUUAUUUUAGGAUUUAUUUUAGGCAGUCGCUUAACUCAUUUUAUCACAUUUAUCGAUAUUACUUUGCACGCUUGUUUUUUAAAUUUCUUCUUCUUCUUUUUGAUCACGCCGUGAAUUUGCGAAAUUCAAAGGUAACAAGACGGUCAGUUAUAUCGAGAUUCAUCGAGAGGGGAUUGUUAUGGGGAUCGACGCAGUCACCGGACUCCACGGCCAUUCACCGCGAACUUGACCCACUGUCACACUUGCAGCACCGGUACGAUGCACGUGUUACUCUCGCGUGUACAUGCCGAGGUACGUUGUACCGAAGUAAACCCACCAUACGGUCACCAUAUGCCUUCCACUUCCUCCUUUACGACGGAUUGAAUGAAAAGAUUUGGAUCGCUGCGUGACAGACGCAUAGCGCGACGCAAGAGCGUAGCGUUUCCUCGCGCGGGAAACAUCUCGCGAUCACGCGUAUUGCCAUUAAGAGAUCGCGAGAUCGAACGUAAUUGGAGCGCGUGGCCCAUUUAAUACUCCGCAGCUGAGCGAGAAAUGAAAGCUCGAGAAAAAUACGCGCGCCCGCUUUUACACACCGCUGCGCAUCUCCGUACUAUCUGCACGCUUUACUAAUUGUAUAAGAGCGGUUAACCGAUCAGCAGGGCAGUUUGCAUUCCGCCGUUUGUUUUACAAAAAUAAAAUCAAGAAUUUCUCCGCGCCGUGAUUCCGAUCCAUUCUCUAUUAUUUAUCCAGUCCGUUUAUUCCGUUUUAUCCCGCGUGAAAUGUGAAAAUCAAAAAAUUAUGAAGACGAGAAAAAAUGUGCAAUCUGAUAUCAGAUAUUAGAUAUCUGCAAUUGCGAUAUCGGAGCAAACAUUUCUUUACUGCCGGAAUAUAAAACUUGGUACAGUAAUGAAACAAGUACAUAUGUAUAUAAUUAUUGGGGAUCAUGUCGAAAAGGAAGUAAACUAUUACGUUGAUUGAAUAAACCGCUUUGAAACAUUGCAGCUUCUGUCCUUUUAAUUAUUCAAUGAUUCUCGUAGAUUAUUAUAUUUGAGUAGGUCGGCCAGGAUACGACAGCUCUGAGGGCUCGCGUGACCGUAAUCUUUCUUGUUUAGUGGAAAGGGAUGAAUAUUUAUGCGUCUUUAUGCGCAUGUAACGCCGUCAGCUUUACUCAAUGGCAUUACAUUUUAACGCCACUCACGUCGACUGCGAAAAAUAUCCACGAAAUAAAACGAUAAUUUUUAACACAUUUUUCAUUGCAUUUUUCUCGAUAAUAUCGCUUUAAUAUCGCGCAAAAAUGCGUUACAAAAUUGGCGUGUUUUAUGUAUUUUUUAUUAUGUAAUGUUUGGACAUCCUCAUCGUCGGUCAACGAUUAGCAAAUGUUACUUGGUCAGAGAUAAUCGCUUCAGCACUUUCAUGCGUAAUGCGAUGAAAGCAGGCGAAAUGAUCGUACCAACGACGCGUGGAAUUUCUUAUGUUGAAUAAACAUGCGAAUUUCAUGUCCCGUAUUUAUUUCGCGAUCGAUUCUUUCGAGUGUCAAAGUUCACGAAGCAUCUCACUAGGAGAUAAAUCGGAAAACUAAUUGUAAUAAUACUGCGAGCAAAGUGCCUUGUGCCCAUGCCAAUUGCUAACUCCUAACGAGCGCAUUACAACUUGCUAUAGCGAGCAUGGUCGCGCGUAACUUCGUCUAUAUCCAAGAAGUUCAUGCUGCAUACUGCUAUUAAUUAACGGCGUACAUAGCGUGUAAUUAUGUAGUAAUGUAACUUGUGAUUAGAAUAUAUAAUCGAUGUAACAUACUUUUCACUGUAUCACGCCAAGAGAACGCUGGAGCAACAGGAAGAGUAUUCUCUCAAUACGUACACUUUACGUUACGUGUGUGUAUUUACGUAAAUAUAUACAAUAUUUUAUUAUACAAAAUAUUUUAUUUAUAUAAAAUAUACAAUACGUAUAUCUUGUGCUUGAUUAUCUUUACACGCGUACAAGUCGUACAACGCGCGUUGCGCUGUUUGAUCCGUUACGAAACACCCCAAGUGGGGUUUUCCGACGUUGAAAGUAUGGCCCAAUAUUGGCCCAUUGUUGGCAAUGUAAUAUCGAUAAGCAACAUUGGCUCUAUACCAUUAUUAACGAUUCGAUAGUCAUGUGUGGUUCAGUAACAUUGAAUUUAUGGGAAUUAUAUUUAUCGAUCUCGAAUACGUACUGGCUUUGGCAUGAGCCCUCGUUUGAUUAAAUGAUUGCAUGAUUGAAUCAUAAUGC